This 508-nucleotide ribosomal RNA is filed under the name uncultured bacterium. RNAcentral's name for it is "partial 16S ribosomal RNA". It matches the Rfam family "Bacterial small subunit ribosomal RNA", at positions 28 to 507 of the family's 1533-position model. The record is from RNAcentral.
GACGAACGCUGGCGGCGUGCCUAAUACAUGCAAGUCGAACGCUUCUUUCCUCCCGAGUGCUUGCACUCAAUUGGAAAGAGGAGUGGCGGACGGGUGAGUAACACGUGGGUAACCUACCCAUCAGAGGGGGAUAACACUUGGAAACAGGUGCUAAUACCGCAUAACAGUUUAUGCCGCAUGGCAUAAGAGUGAAAGGCGCUUUCGGGUGUCGCUGAUGGAUGGACCCGCGGUGCAUUAGCUAGUUGGUGAGGUAACGGCUCACCAAGGCCACGAUGCAUAGCCGACCUGAGAGGGUGAUAGGCCACACUGGGACUGAGACACGGCCCAGACUCCUACGGGAGGCAGCAGUAGGGAAUCUUCGGCAAUGGACGAAAGUCUGACCGAGCAACGCCGCGUGAGUGAAGAAGGUUUUCGGAUCGUAAAACUCUGUUGUUAGAGAAGAACAAGGACGUUAGUAACUGAACGUCCCCUGACGGUACCUAACCAGAAAGCCACGGCUAACUACGUG